UAACAGCGUGCGAGAGCCGGGCGCGUAUUUUGAACUAUGCCUACGCGCCUCGCGAAUAAUAAAAUAUGUUCGUGCAGCACGUCUCACUCCGCAGUCCGCGCUCAGGGUAUGGGUCAAGUUAAUAU
This is a long non-coding RNA of Aricia agestis (brown argus), 125 nucleotides long. RefSeq lists it as uncharacterized. Lineage: Eukaryota; Metazoa; Arthropoda; Insecta; Lepidoptera; Lycaenidae. The transcript is spliced from 3 exons. The record is from RefSeq and is a predicted model, not a curated record.